Molecule: non-coding RNA, 107 nt
Filed under: Ferroacidibacillus organovorans
Lineage: Bacteria; Bacillati; Bacillota; Bacilli; Caryophanales; Alicyclobacillaceae
Description: Acidibacillus ferrooxidans TPP sequence
Rfam family: TPP riboswitch aptamer (THI element)
About the family: Vitamin B(1) in its active form thiamin pyrophosphate (TPP) is an essential coenzyme that is synthesised by coupling of pyrimidine and thiazole moieties in bacteria. The previously detected thiamin-regulatory element, thi box was extended, resulting in a new, highly conserved RNA secondary structure, the THI element, which is widely distributed in eubacteria and also occurs in some archaea. Analysis of operon structures identified a large number of new candidate thiamin-regulated genes, mostly transporters, in various prokaryotic organisms.
Source: RNAcentral
CAAUCGAUCAACGGGAGCUCGGCAAACCGGGCUGAGAGGGCGAAGGAGUCGCCGACCGUCAACCUGAUCUGGAUAAUGCCAGCGUAGGAAUUUUUAUUGCACACAUU